Molecule: long non-coding RNA, 243 nt
Filed under: Elaeis guineensis (African oil palm)
Lineage: Eukaryota; Viridiplantae; Streptophyta; Magnoliopsida; Arecales; Arecaceae
Description: long non-coding RNA (EGUI_LNC027906)
Source: RNAcentral
GAGGUUAUAGCUCCGGUGAGGACCCUUCGAUGCUCAAGUUAGAAAAGUAGAGAAUAAAAAAGCAGCAACAAAUUCUUUGAAAGGAAUUUGAUUGGAUUUAUUUAGGUCCUCGGGCUCCGAUUGUUUAUCUAGAAGGAUGUCAGACAGUUGGAUUGUUAGCUGUAAGAUUGUAUGAUCCCAAGAUUGUCAGACCAUUGGACAUGUCAAACUGGAUAAGAUAAUUUCAUCCUUAAUCGCUCCCAC